UAAUAAUUGUGCUUAUGCUGUUUAGUACCAUACAUUUCGAUUCAUUCUAGCAUCUAAAUGUAACCAGCGUCCUUGCUCAUUCGGUUGUGAAUUUUUCCAAUCCUUCAUGAAUAUGGGUUUUUUAGGAGAUUCAUUCCCAUUUUCUAGGUCUUUUUUGCCAAAAUCAUCAGCAUCCAUUUCAGGAGGGAGAGAAAAAAGAGAAUUGAAGCGGUAGCGAAACGGAUUCUUAAAUCAUCAAUGCAAUCGCAAACAAGCAUAAGUAAUUGGGGGUUUUUUUUAAUUCUAUUUUGUUAUAAUAUUAUUAAAAAUGAAUCAUAUACAAAUUUUAUUACGAAGAAAUUUACAUUAUUUCAUUUGAUUAACUAGGAUCUAAUACAUUAGGCAUAACUUAAAACAUUCCUCAAGUUAGGCUGUAAAUUGAAGAAUUGAUUUG
This is a non-coding RNA of Schizosaccharomyces pombe (fission yeast), 433 nucleotides long. The record is from the annotation of a GenBank genome assembly. NCBI's taxonomy places the organism in Eukaryota, Fungi, Ascomycota, Schizosaccharomycetes, Schizosaccharomycetales, Schizosaccharomycetaceae.